GUCUAUGUAAUUUAUAUAAAAUAUCGGUCUUGUAAGCCGAAAAUAGGUAGCCGCCCUCUUAGACU
Molecule: transfer RNA, 65 nt
Filed under: Chthamalus malayensis
Lineage: Eukaryota; Metazoa; Arthropoda; Thecostraca; Balanomorpha; Chthamalidae
Description: tRNA-Thr
Rfam family: tRNA
About the family: Transfer RNA (tRNA) molecules are approximately 80 nucleotides in length. Their secondary structure includes four short double-helical elements and three loops (D, anti-codon, and T loops).
Source: RNAcentral